UAGGGAAUAUUGCGCAAUGGCCUAACGGCUGACGCAGCAACGCCGCGUGGGUGAUGAAGUUCUUCGGAAUGUAAAACCCUGUUAGUGGGGACGAAUGACCUAUGGUCUUGACGGUACCCACAGAGAAAGUCCCGGCCAACUCCGUGCCAGCAGCCGCGGUAAUACGGGGGGGACGAGCGUUGUUCGGAUUCACUGGGCGUAAAGCGCACGUAGGCGGGUUUGCAAGUCGAAUGUGAAAACCGACGGCUUAACCAUCGGCCCGCAUUUGAUACUGCAAGUCUAGGGUACUGGAGAGGAUGGCAGAAUUCCUGGUGUAGCGGUGAAAUGCGUAGAUAUCAGGAGGAAUACCGGUGGCGAAGGCGGCCAUCUGGACAGAUACUGACGCUGAGGUGCGAAGGCUAGGGGAGCAAACAGGAUUAGAUACCCUGGUAGUCCUAGCGGUAAACGAUGGACACUAGGUGUUGGUGGUAUCGACCCCACCAGUGCCGCAGUUAACACAUUAAGUGUCCCGCCUGGGGAGUACGGCCGCAAGGUUA
RNAcentral lists this ribosomal RNA (536 nucleotides) under uncultured bacterium. RNAcentral's name for it is "bacterial SSU rRNA". It matches the Rfam family "Bacterial small subunit ribosomal RNA", at positions 355 to 896 of the family's 1533-position model. The record is from RNAcentral.